Molecule: long non-coding RNA, 1390 nt
Organism: Cavia porcellus (domestic guinea pig)
Lineage: Eukaryota; Metazoa; Chordata; Mammalia; Rodentia; Caviidae
Exons: 3
Source: RefSeq, a predicted model, not a curated record
GCUCAUGUCCAGCUGGGCAGAGGCCCCAUCUGGCUGGGAGGGACCAGGACACCCUAAGUGGCUGCCCAGGGUCUUGUGGUUUCUGGUGACCUUGAGACUCUUCCGGGGUGGGGCGGAUGGGACCAGGCAUAGCACAGCUUGGAGAAGGCUACACAGCUGCUGUCCAGAUUCUCCCAGGCUGUGCUCCUGUCUCCAAACAGUGGUAGAGGGUGCCAGAGAGGUCGAUGUUGGUGGAAUUUAAUAUUAGGUAUAAUCGAGGCUUAGUAGGAAUCAGCUUGUCAGGUUAGGGAAGCAGGGUGACCAUCUACGGACUAUCUGCAUUCUCCUGGGCUAGACUGUGUGUAUGUGUGUGCGCUUGUGCAUGUGCAUGUGCCUGUGUGUGUUUGUGUGUAUGUGUAUAUUGGGUUUUCUUUCUUGCAUCUGUAAUUUCCAACUUGCAGAAUGUAACAGAAGUUGGUCUUGGCUACCAGGUGGGUUUGGACAGCCCAUAGGAGCACAGAUCAGUGCUAAGUCAUUUGCUAACUGCCUUGGAGGAGCCCCAGUUAGAGACCCAGGCAACCCACCAUGCUGAUUCCUUUGGAUUGCUGCUCAGAUGACAGCUCCUGGCACAAUUUCUGGCAUACGUGAGGUGCUCAGUCAACAAAAACUUAUAGAAUGGAUGAAUGGAACAUAGAGGAGCUGAAUCUGUGAGGAGGAGGAGACUGACUUGGUGAUGGCCUUCAGAAGAGUACUGUGUUUCGUGCACACAUCACAGAGAGGAAAAAUUUCCCUUGACCUUGUCUCCAUCAGAGAGAAGCCAGGCAUUACCAGUGGUGACUAAGGCUACAAAAGGUCGUGUGAAGACUUCCUCAUGUUAGAUGCAUCUGCAGAGAUUUCUCACAAGCGACUGGCUCCAAACAAUACAGCCUUGGGAUUUAGGUCACUAUAGGAUUUGUGUAAUUUCAGUCUUUAGAAGGUAGCUUUAGGAUUUACAACGAUGGCAUAAACUAUCUCUUCAAGAAAUGAGUGUUUCUAUUUUUCAUGUCUUGCAUCUCUGCUUUUAGUUAAGUAAGCAUUUUCUUUGUUUCCAAGUAGCUACUGCAAAAGCAAAAUAGAUACAAGCUUUUAGCUCAGUUAUUUGAGAGACAUCCAGGUUUCAAAGAAGACUUUUAAAAAUGUGUUACUGGAAAUUGAUGGACAAACUCUGUGUGCUUUCCUUUGCUGACAUGUGCGGCCAAGUGGAACAGACAGUAUUUUUAUUUGUGGUAAUUGUCCACUGACAGCCUUGUUUUCCGUUUAUUCCAAGUUGUCCACCAAUUCAAAUAGGUUAAAGCAGAGCAGACCAUUCCACAGCCACGGUCCAUCAACAAUUUCUUGAACAGGAGGGAAAAUAAAUUAAUAUUUACUCAGC